Molecule: unclassified non-coding RNA, 240 nt
Filed under: soil metagenome
Description: partial contains 5.8S ribosomal RNA, internal transcribed spacer 2, and large subunit ribosomal RNA
Source: RNAcentral
AACACUGUUAACCUGCGGUACCUGCGGAAGGAUCAUUACAGAGUGUUUAACCCCCUAUAAAAUGGUGGGUCUAACCUCCCGUCCUUUGCUGGGUCCCCCUUCUGGAGGACUUUCAAAACUUUCUGCUUCGGCGGGGCAUACCCGCCGGAACACCCUCAAAAAAUUCUUGAUCAAAAUGGUUCGGUCCGAGAAACUUUUUGUGAAAAUUAGCGAAAAACUUUUAACAAUGGAUCUCAGAUC